Molecule: microRNA, 24 nt
Filed under: Brachypodium distachyon (stiff brome)
Lineage: Eukaryota; Viridiplantae; Streptophyta; Magnoliopsida; Poales; Poaceae
Description: bdi-miR9486a
Source: miRBase by way of RNAcentral
AUGCUUUCAAGGGAUUAGAGGUUC